Limulus polyphemus (Atlantic horseshoe crab) is the source of this 874-nucleotide long non-coding RNA. RefSeq lists it as uncharacterized. NCBI's taxonomy places the organism in Eukaryota, Metazoa, Arthropoda, Merostomata, Xiphosura, Limulidae. The record is from RefSeq and is a predicted model, not a curated record. The transcript has 2 exons.
GACUAAGAAGGCUGUAGGUUAGCAAUGAUCUUUGUGACCUUUUGACCCAGAAGAAGGUAAGUCAACAAUUAUUGUGGUGACCUUUUGACUAAGAAGGCUGUAGGUUAGCAAUGAUCUUUGUGACCUUUUGACCCAGAAGAAGCACUUACACAAGUGUCGUUUGAAUAUCAAGUUACUACACAUUGAAAAAACUGCUGCGAAGUAAAAGAAAAAUAUGGUUAGAGUCUCGACAAAACAACUUUCAUUGGAAAGACAGCUUGACAAAAAUAACACUUAUUUCUCUUUCCUGUAGAAGUAUUUUUUUCUGUUUCUCUUUUUAUUCGUGCUAUCGUGUAAUCAAGCUUAACUAUUUCUUUCUUUAGAGAUAAACUAAAGCACUGACUAGUAAGGCGGCUGGAGUUUUAAAUUUUAUUUUAUUAAAUAUAAAUGAUACCAGAUGGCACCGUUGCAGUUUUUAAGUGUAUUCUAGAGUGACGAAAGAAAAUGUCAUUAGUACUUUGUGACGAAGAUUUAGAUAAGUUGUUAUGCAGUUAUAACAACUGGACGGUUUAGAAGUUGUGAGUUGAAAUAAAAUUUGUUAAAAGCACGACAAGUACUGCUCCAAGUUAUAAACUACUCUACUCAAGUCUGCGUUUUUAUUUGUUUGAAGUAUUUGCUCAAAGACCACUGUUUGGUUGUACUCCAAGUUGAAAUGCAAGCUUUUGACAUUUAUUUAACACGUUGUAAUAUACUUAAGCAAAUUUAUUCUCUGAUGUAAAUAUAAAAACUUUUAACAUGUAGCAUGAAGAUCAUUAUCAGGGUAUAUUAAGCCCAAAACUAUGUGCCACAAUUGUUAUAUCUGUAUAUUUAACAAUAAAUUGUCAAUUUAAUUAUU